UCGGCGGGCCGUGACUGGCGCGUUGAAGAUGGAUGACCAUCGGGGAGCGGUCCCACCCACUCGGGGUGACCGCCGUGCGCCUGGGCCUCAUCA
Molecule: non-coding RNA, 93 nt
Filed under: Couchioplanes caeruleus subsp. caeruleus
Lineage: Bacteria; Bacillati; Actinomycetota; Actinomycetes; Micromonosporales; Micromonosporaceae
Also listed under: 1 other name
Description: ZMP/ZTP riboswitch aptamer (pfl RNA motif)
Rfam family: ZMP/ZTP riboswitch aptamer (pfl RNA motif)
About the family: Previously known as pfl RNA. ZMP is also known as AICAR.
Source: Rfam by way of RNAcentral